Non-coding RNA from Schistosoma mansoni, 45 nucleotides. Lineage: Eukaryota; Metazoa; Platyhelminthes; Trematoda; Strigeidida; Schistosomatidae. The record is from Rfam.
AUCCAGGUGAUGAGUUCCAAAUAGGACGAAACGCGCAUCCUGGAU